CGUUAGACCUGAUUGACAGUUACUGUAUGUCCGAGGAUGGUGGAUGGCCUGAGGACAGGCAGCACCGCUCCUCAAGCAGCAGCCUCCGUGGUCAAGAGCUUACACCCUGCGGCUCUCUGGGUUCUUCUGAGGAUGCUUGGUAGUCUCCGCCUCUCACCUGGAACCGCACCACCUUCUCCGUGGCGAGGCAUAACCUCCCAUCGAAGUCUGAAGCAUCUUGUCUGCUGAUUGGUGGGGAGGCAGCUGCUCCUUCCACCCUGCAGUGAAGACGCCCUGGAAGAGAGCAGAGACUGCAUUGGUCUCGUCCAGGGGGAUGCUCAGUGCCCAGCAGUGAACACAGGGCCUGGUGCGUGACCCUCAGAUUUCUGAGCCACCUUGGCAUGCAGGAUCCACACAGUCUGCUCGCAUCUCUGCUGCAGGCACGUGCGCACACCUUCCCUUAAGAUGGUGGCAUGCUCUGGAGAUGACCUAGGGAUGG
Molecule: long non-coding RNA, 478 nt
Organism: Meriones unguiculatus (Mongolian gerbil)
Lineage: Eukaryota; Metazoa; Chordata; Mammalia; Rodentia; Muridae
Exons: 4
Source: RefSeq, a predicted model, not a curated record